RNAcentral lists this ribosomal RNA (468 nucleotides) under uncultured bacterium. RNAcentral describes it as "partial 16S ribosomal RNA". It matches the Rfam family "Bacterial small subunit ribosomal RNA", at positions 28 to 507 of the family's 1533-position model. The record is from RNAcentral.
GACGAACGCUGGCGGCGUGCUUAACACAUGCAAGUCGAACGGAAAGGCCCUGCUUUUGUGGGGUGCUCGAGUGGCGAACGGGUGAGUAACACGUGAGUAACCUGCCCUUGACUUUGGGAUAACUUCAGGAAACUGGGGCUAAUACCGGAUAGGAGCUCCUGCUGCAUGGUGGGGGUUGGAAAGUUUCGGCGGUUGGGGAUGGACUCGCGGCUUAUCAGCUUGUUGGUGGGGUAGUGGCUUACCAAGGCUUUGACGGGUAGCCGGCCUGAGAGGGUGACCGGCCACAUUGGGACUGAGAACAGGGCCAGACUCCGACGGGAGGCAGCAGGGGGGAAUAAUGCACAAUGGGCGGAAGCCUGAUGGAGCAAAGCCGCGGGGGGGAUGAAGGCCUUCGGGUUGUAAACCGCUUUCGCCUGUGACGAAGCGUGAGUGACGGUAAUGGGUAAAGAAGCACCGGCUAACUACGUG